This is a non-coding RNA of Oryza glaberrima (African rice), 196 nucleotides long. The record is from Rfam. Lineage: Eukaryota; Viridiplantae; Streptophyta; Magnoliopsida; Poales; Poaceae.
CAUAUGGAUUUCCGUGUCCAACUUUUGACCGUUUGUCUUAUUUGAAAAAAUAAAAAAAAAUUAAAAAGACAAGUCAUGCAUAAAGUAUUAAUCAUGUUUUAUCAUCUAACAAUAAUAAAAAUACUAAUUAUAAAAAAAAUUUCAUAUAAGACGGACAGUCAAACAUUGGACACGGAAACCUAGUGUUUGUCUUUUU